CGAGGGUCAAACGACUCGAGUGAUCGGCGCGAGGAGAAGCGUGGAAAAAUAAUCGUAGGAAUUCGUUGUGGACACGAUGCUUUUAUACGAGGAACCCUUCACCGCCGAAAUCCAAUGAAGACACUUAUAAUUCCGUCUCUAGAGAUUUCUAGAGAUCAUGCUCGUCAUUGGCUUUUAACGAGUGGACGACCUUACUCUCCAGGGACGAACGAAACUGAAUCUCGAGAAAGUGUCGGCCUCUAAUCAGCUUCGGGGAAUCACGUGGUGAAAAAGGCAAAAAAAAAGAAAGAAAGAAAAAAAAAAAGAAAAGAAUUCAGAAAAGAAAGAUAAAGAGAGGAGUUGAAUAUUGAAAGACGAAAGAUAACGAACGUGUUUUGCCAAUAAUCUGGUAGAAGUGAAGCAUGCUGUCUUCAAAGGGCAACUUGCACGAAUUAACCUUCGUGUUCAAUCCCGUGAACCUUUGUGGACGUAGAUGAUGGAUGAGGCUAAGAAGUUAUUUAUCUUGAUCUUUUGUCUCGAGCUUUCUUUUUGCCCUCGCUUCGAAACUGGAAAAAAUUCCUGGUAAGCGAUAUUGAGAUAUCGAUUGUUCCCCAAAAAUUUU
This is a long non-coding RNA of Apis florea (little honeybee), 601 nucleotides long. Lineage: Eukaryota; Metazoa; Arthropoda; Insecta; Hymenoptera; Apidae. The record is from RefSeq and is a predicted model, not a curated record.